AGUGGAGCAGCCGGGACUCGAACCAGCACCCCUAGGGGAUGCUGGCACCGCAGGCAGCAGCUUAACCUGCCAGGCCACAGCGCCAGCCCCUCCCCUUUCUUACAGUAAAGCAUGCUAGCUUUUCUCUGAGAUUGGGGAAUGCUUGUCCAGCACCACAGUCCUUCUCUGCUCACCACUUCACCGCUGCACAAACGCGGGACUGUCUCCCGGCCGCAUCCUAAGUCGCAGUGAGAAGCAAUCUCGACUGUGUUCUUUCUGUUCCUGUGUCAUCUCGCACCACCAGCUGAGGGAACACAUCUUUCCAGGGGAAAGAAAAACAGAAUAAAGAAAAUAAUUUCUAAGAGCUAGAAAGUGGAGACAACUAGAAGGGAAACGAAGGAAGAAGAGGGAGGCAACCAUAAGAAAAGAGAAAAACGCUCCUUCGGCACUUGGGCCACCAGCACUUUUUCUCACCUGAGAGCUAACUGGGACUCUUCAAUGCCCAAGGUGUGUAUGUUUUGUAGUCUAUGGAUGAAGGCGUUUCCCGUUUACUCACACUUUUAAUCUCUCUGUGAAUGUUGAUUGUAAGGGUUUCCUUCUUACAACUCCCUAUAGCAGAAAACUCAGUUUUUGUCCUUGAAUACAAAUUGAGUCAUUCUUAUUUAGCACUCAUUCUUUUCAACACACACAUGGGUAUGGGGGCAUGUACUGUAUAAUCUCUCAGUAUAUCUCAUUUCCAUAUUACCUUCUUCAACCUUUUAAGAAAAUUAAGCAUUUUUUUUUAAAAUGAUUGGGACUGGCGUUAUGGCAUAGAAGGUUAAGCCGCUGCCUUUGACACCAGCAUCCCAUAUGGGUGCUGGUUCCAGUCCCGGCCACUCCACUUCUGAUCCAGCUCCCUGAUGAUGAACCUGGCAAAGCAGCAGAAGAUGGUCCAAGUACUUGGGACCCUGCACCCACAUGGGAGACCCUGAAGAAGCUCCUGGUUCCUGGCUUCAGCCUGGCCCAGCCCUGAGCAUUGUGGCCAUUUGCGGAGUGAACCAGCAGAUGGAAGAUCUCUCUCUUGCUUCCGCUCCUCUCUCUCUGUAAGUUAGCCUUUCAAAUAAAUAAAAAUUGUAUUUGGUUGAGAAGCAGAGAAUAAAUGAAUAUAGAUAUGAGAUAUACUGAGAGAUUAUACAGUACAUGCCCCCAUACCCAUGUGUGUGUUGAAAAGAAUGAGUGCUAGAUAAGAAUGACUCAAUUCAGAGAGCUCCCAUCUGUUAGUUCACUCCCCAGAUAUCUACCAAGACAACUGCUUUGUAUGAAGAUACCAGAUGGCCAGGGUACCAUUCACAGUUAAGAAGCUCUGGUUUGGGGCUGGCAUUUGACACAGCAGUCAAGAUGCCACUCACGAUGCCCACAUCCCGUAUCGGAGCACCAGUUUUGACUCUCAGCUGCAUUUCUGAUUCCAGCUUCCUGCUGAUGGGCACCCUGGGAGACAGCACGCGAUGGCUCAGGUAUUUGGAUCCCUGCCACUCAUGUGGGAGACCAGCUUGAGUUCCAGGCUCCUGACUUUGGCCUGGCCCUGCCCUGGCUGUUGCAAGAAUUUGGGGGUGAACCAGGAGAUAGGAGAUCUUUGUUCUUUUUGUCUCUGUCUCUCUGCCUUUCAAGUAAAAUGAAAAGAAAUAUGAUCUCUGACUCCAUGGAGAGGCCGUGCACAGGGAUCUAUCUGUCCAGGCUGCGGGCAGUUCCUGGAAAGCUACAGCUUCGGGGAUCUCUCCCCAGGUGCUGUGAGCUCCAGAGCACAGUCACGGUUCACAGUGUGGAAGGAUUGCUGGCUCCAUGGCUCCAUAGGCUGGUCUGCUUCAAGGGGACGGCCUGGCCCAGGGCCUCAGUUCUCUCCUGUUUCGUUCCCUUCAGCUCAUCCCACUGCUCAGCUCCCAUGCUCAGAAUGCACCCAAGAAAAUGAUUGAAAGAGAUGCCACUUAAACUCAAGCCAAAAUCCUAAUGCAACCUGUCGGCCAGAGGUGUGCAGGCCCUGCCCAGCGCAGCAGGAGUCAGCUGUUUGCUGGCCUGCCCCAGUGGCCCAGGUGAGUCAUCACUUUCCCCGCCCCCACUGAGGCGUGGCUGCCGGGCCUGCACGGAAUGCUGCUGCUCCCAGUGCUGGGCUCGAGGAUCCAGCUACUUUAGUGUCUGCUCUGCCUCCCAUGAAUUAAAAAUGACUGCACUUAAAGCCCCACAGUGCUCGCUAACAGGCCUUAUAUUCACUCUGUUGGCCUUUGGCAGACACCAAGCUACCCACGUGUGCAGCACCCCUCACGGAGGCCCGGGCUUUGCCUCUCACAUGGCUGAAGAGGCAUGGGAGCGGAGCCAGCCGUGCAGAGCGUCAGCCUGGCCCCUUCAUUGGAAAUGCAGCGAUGCUACUUGCAACACAUGACUCAGAACCAACACGCCACGCCCACAGGUCCUCUAUCUACCUGGCUUGUUUCAAGUCACAGAUGCUAAAACCCGGAAGGGGAGCGACUGUGCUCUGUGCCCUGACGGGUGUCCAGCAGAGAGCUCUGCAUGCAGUAGGUGCUCAAUAGAUGUUUUUCAGGAGAAGAAAUGCACAUAAUUGUAGGCUCCAAUGACAAUGAUUAUCACUCAGUAGCUAAAAAGAGCUUCAUGAGACUUUGUGGCUCUCUAGCCUCCUUCUCCAAUAAGCUUAAAGUUUAGGAUAACAGAAGCCGGCGUGGUGGUACAGUGGGUUAAGCUGUGGCCUGUGAUGCUGGCAUCCCAUAUAAGCCCCAGUUCAAGUCCUGGAUGCUCCAGUUCCGAUCCAGCUACUAAUGUGCCUGGAAAAGCAGUGGAAAGUGGCCCAAGUGCUUGUGUCUCUGCCAUCCACAUGGGAGACCCAGGUGGAGUUCCUGGAUCCUGGCUUUGGCGUUGCUCAGCCCUGGCCAUUGUAGCCAUUUGGGGGAGUGAGCCAGUGGAUGGAAGAUUUUUCUCCCCCCCUCCCCUACCCACUUUCUCCCUCUCUCUGUAACUCUGCCUUUCAAAUAAAUAAAUCUUUUUUUAAAAAAGUUUUAGAUAAUAAAUACAUGUUUCUUUAUAAAUAAUAACUGCUUGUCUAUUUGGUAACUGGGAAGGCUGAAACUAAGUGGGGUUAUGAUUGGCUACUGCCCCACCUGGCAGGAUAAAAUUCAGUCUCUCUCAAGCUUUCCAUCUAGGAAGAACAGAGACCUAAGGGGAGAAGGGUGUUAUAAGUCACGCGGGCCAGCUAAUCUAAGUCCUUCUGAUGCUGAGCUCAGCCACUACAACUGUGUUCACCCUGUGGCUGCAGCAUUUUUCAUGGGACAGUUGCAAAACCAGGGGGCAGAGCUCCUGGGUUCUGUAUGGACUGCUGGAUUUUCCACGAGGACUCUGGAAAAGAACGGCUGGGAAGCGAGGGUGGAACCCACGCAGCAAAGUCAAGAGGCUACUCUGGGAAGGGCACACGCGAGGCAGGCCUCGUGGCAUUCCUGUCUGUCAGGGCUCAGCUCGGAGCGCCAGACAGGAGCACUUCUCUGCCCUGUUUGCCGACACCUUGUCGCUCCUGGCCACUGAGGGGAAACGAGGCAGGGAGGGGCAGUGAUGUCAGGCUUUGCCGUCCUUCCGGCUGGGAGCUGGGCUGUGCCCUUCAUUGUUAGCCAGCGUUCUGCAAACGCCCACGGCCAGCUUUCCCGUCCAACCCAGACAGGGAGGUGGAAUCAAUGGAUUCCUUUAUGUCCACGUGUGACUCUGGUCCUUAAAUGGUCUUGUUAAAGAGACAGUGAUUUUGAGAGCCGUUGUGUUUAGUGAGCCAUAUUUCUUUUCUUUACUUUUUUUUUUAUGUGUGCACUGACUUACCAUGAGCCCUCCUGGAGCCAUUUGCACCAUGGUCCCUUAAAAAUUUAUAAAAAAAUCAUUAUUAUGCAGGAGAAAGAGAGAUGCCCCAUCCACUGGUUCACUCCCCAAAUAUCCACUUUGCCUGGGGCUGGGGCCAGAGCUAGGAACUCAGUCACCAGCUGGUGUCCAAGUGGCAGCUUAGCCUACUGAGCCACAACACUGGCCCCAGGCUCAGCCAGUUAAGCCACCACUCAGGAUGCCCACAUGCCAUAUGGGAGCACGGGUUUGAGUCCCAGCUACUCUGCUUUCUGUCCAGCUAUCUGCCAAAGCAGCUGGGAAAGCAAUGGAUGAUGGCCCAAGUAUUUGGGACCCUGCCACCCAUCUGGGAGACCCAGAAGAAGCUGCUGGCUCCUGACUUGGCCUGGCACAGCCCUGGCUGUUGUGGCCAUUUGGGGAGUGAACCAGUGGAUGGAAGAUACCAUUCUCUGUCUCUCUCCUCUAUUUCUGUAACUCUGCCUUUCAAAUAAAUAAAUCUUAAAAAAAUUUUAAGUAAAAAAUUAGAACUCCUGAGUUAGAAUCCUGAUCUAUCAGUUACCAUUUUGGGCAAAAGAGAAGAAGGCUAAAAUAUUUACUUGAAAUAUUUGUUUAACUUUGAGCCUUGGUUUACUUACCAGUUUAUAUCAGAGAAUGACUGGUUGCAUAAUGUGAGAUCUCAAUAAAUGCUUGAUGAGAGAAUGAAUUACAUCAUCUCCUAGUGAAUGGGACACAGGCCUCUAAUGGGAUCCAAGCUUCCUGGGACUGUCUUACUCAUCCUUGUAUCCCUGGCUGCAGCAAACGCCCAACUCCUAGUGGAUGCUGGCGAAUUGUGAGUGACUGUAACACAUGGCAAGUUACAGGCAACUAGGUUGACAGUGUCUUCCUCAGACCAGCUCAGCUCCUGGAGUGAGAGGAAAAGCCCGGUGUGGGAGUAACCGGUUAGGACAAUAGCCAGCAGGGAAGAAACAGGCAGGAUAAGCAGGAGGCUGCAUGGGAGCAAGCCCCAGCAUCCACCCCACUGCGUGCCCCUCUGGUCCAUUUCCCCCACAGAAGGGCACUGAGCCAGGUCAGCUGUGUCUGCGCAGGUGCAGUGCCCGGCAGGAGUUAUCUCACUGCUGAGGGAGCCCCAAGCUAAAGGCUUCUGCAGGUCUGUGCCCCUCUCUGGGGGUCAGGGGUCAGAGGUGGGGGAUGGGAAGUGAAAGGGAGGCAUUAGGAGGGGGAAAGUACUGGAUACUAAGUCAAGGUAGACAAAAAUGCCUUCGAGUUGUCCCUUCUCUGCCCCCAUGAGGGAGGCCCCUGGGCUGGGAACACAGGCACUCGGUGGGUGUGAGAGAAGAAAGGCAGCAGGGCCUGCACCCUCAGGGCAGCUCCCCUUGGACCUGGGCUCGGAGCACCAAGCCUUGCCCUGCGCCUGCCAGGUAAAGCCUCUGCAGUGUCCGUAGGAGAACCGGGAAAAGCCUCUCAUAGGGUUGGGCCAGGAGCCAGCCUCCUCCUCCAGUCGGUGACAUCUGACUGGCACAGGAGCAGAGCUGACUUGGCUUAGUGGGCGCAGAGUUGGAAUCAGAACAGUUGCUUGUUUGCUUGUUUUUGUUGUUGUUUUAUUACUGCUCCUUCCUAUUUUGCACCGGAUCAGAGGUUGGAAGCUUGCACGGUUCUCGUCUCUGACGUCACAAGCAGCUGCUCUUUUGUUUUGGUUGGUUGCCCCUGCUCUGAUGGCCAGAACGAGUGGUCAUAGCCAGGUCAGCAGACUGUCGACCCCAUGAGUAUUACCUGUGAAUAUACUACGUUACACAGUCAAAGGGACUUGGCAGAUGUAAUUACAGUUACUAAUCAGUUGAUUUUUUUAAAAGAUGUAUUUUAUUUAUUUGGAAGGUAGAGAGAGAGAGAGAGAAGAGAGAGAUAAUCUUCCAUCUGCUUGGCUCACUCCCCAAAUGGCUUCAACAGCUGGAGCCGGGCAAAGCAGAAGCCAAGAGCCAGGAAUUCUGUUUGAGUUUCCAACGUGGGUAGCAGGAGCCUAAGUACUUGGCCCUCUUCUGCUGUUUUCCCAGGUGCAUUAGCAAGGAGCUGGACCAGAAAUGGAGCAGCUGGGACUCAAAUCUGGCACUCAUGUGGGAUGCCAGUGUUGCAGGUGGCAGCUUAACCUGCUGCACUAAAAUGCUAGCCCCUAAUCAGAUUAUCUUGGAUUAUCUGGAUGGGCCCAAUGUAACCUUUGAGCUUUUAGCUCAAGAAGAAGGUAAAAGUCAGAAAAGUUUUGUGGGGAGCAACUCGGACUGGACUGAGUUACUGGAAUUAAGACUUAUUCUAUGCAUCUGCUCUCCCAUAAUAUGGCGCUGGGAGAGGAGAAAACAGCUUCUACGCAGCUGCCUCUUGCCAACUUGAGUGAUGACCUCCAGGAGCAGAUCCUGCUCCUGAUUGGAGGAGAGCAGCGUACUCGGCGUGUGGGCAGGCGAGUUGGGAUUGGCGGAAGAGGACUAUAAAGGAGGAGAGAGACAACAUGCACCAGGAACAUCUGAGGGAACAUCUAUCUGAAGGAAUACCUGUGCAGCCCCCGAGAGAGCCGGCCGGCGGUGUGCCGCUCCCCCGCGGAAGUGGGGAAUGUGGCAGGGGGAACCGCCCUUCCACGGAGGUUGAAGGGACGGUAGCCAACCCGGGAAGAACCAGCAGCAAACCUGGGGAGGGCCGAGCAGACGAAAGAACAGCGCAGGGUCCUGUGUCGUUCCUCCACGAAGAGGGGGAGCGACAAGUUUGAAUCACAAGAAGGAUUUGCUGCGUUUUCACUGGGACAGGACCAUGAACCAAUGAGCCGUGGCCUCUAGAAGCUGCGAGUGACCCUUGGCCAACAACCCCUUAAGACACAGGGACACCAGUCAUGCAAGGACAGGAGAAGUAAGUCGAUUCUGCCAACAACUGGAAUGAGGCUGGAAGUGAAUUCCCCCUCAGGCCCUGCUGCCUAUCCCGUGGACUUCAGCCUGGGGUCCUGGGCAGUCCCCCUGGACAUAGGUCCGAGAGAAACUCUGGGUAAUUAGUUGGUGUUGUCUUCAGUCACUCUAUUUGUGUAAGUAAUAGCAGUAAAUUAGCAACAACAGAAAAUAAAUUCACAGGUUCAGAGCGUAAUGUGAAAAUCCAUCCCAUCCCGACUGCUCUCAGACCUGCCAAACUCCCCCUAGUAAAUUUGGUCCAUUCGGUCCCCUGUGGCAAGUGUGGCUGUGAGGCCCCAUCCAGACAUUGCUGAAUGCAGUUCCAAGUGCAUUUGUUGCAAAAUCAGGCAGGCGUGGGGCCUGGUCCUCUGAUGGCAGGAUGCCUCGUGAUGGCACCAUUAUCCCUUCUGUCCACGUGAGACCUGUGGGAAGUAUUCUGGUCGAGGAACUGGUGUUGCCAGUUAAAAGACAAUAUUCUCAGUUAAACUUGAAUUUCAAUUUUAAAGACAGUAUUUCAGUAUGUCCCAAAUACUGCACAAGACAUGUACUAAAAAAUAUUGUUGUUGUUGUUGUUUUUUUUUUUUUGGUGUAGUUGCCUUUUUUUUUUUUCAAUCUGGCAACCCUACAAGAAGCACACAUUAAAAACUAGAAUUUUCUGGGGCAAGUCACACUCACCAGGAAAGUAGUGAGUCGUGAACUAAAUUGGAUCAGCCACCCCUCUCCGGGACCAGUGCCCUUUUGUUCCUGACACAACCAAAUCUGAUAUCAGAAAAGGAUCUUACGUCAGACACCUGCACUUCAGUGGGGAUUGAUGUCAGCUGGGGUGUCUGUGCCCUUCCACCCACACUCCCGUGUGGAAUGGGAGGCCUGGCCCCCUGUUGAAGGCCAGUAUCUCUUAGUGUCACGGCGCAGGUGGGAAAUGUGUGCUCAGUCUGGUGCUUCCCAAGGUCUGGGGUUGGGAGGGAGACGUGGGCUUCUGAAAUCAGACAGAUCCGUCUUUGGAUUCUGCUGUGGCUACUGUUUUGUAAUUGGAAUAAAUUCCUAUUUCUCAGCACAUUUGUUCCCACUUGGAGCCCGUGAGGAUUGACCAUGUCUAUGUGUAUGAAAUACCUGGCACUUGGUAGGUGCUGGGUAGAUGUGCUGUGUCUUUUCCUCCUGAACUCAGACCUCAUAGCCCUGUGUCAAUGCUGUGUGCCAGCCAUAUGACCAUGUCCCUCCAGGGCCAUCUGUGGCCACCCAUCUGAAAUGUUAGCACGCAGGGUUAAAGAAGGAAAGAUUGCACUCAGAUUUACACAGAAGGGACAGCUCCAGUAAUACCUCCAUAGCAACCAUUUGUUGGAGGCUUAGUACAAUCAUGGGAGAACACUUAGAAAGGACCUCCCAUGCCAUGAUUGGUUCUGUUGGUUUUCACACAGUAACUCCCUCGACAGUCAUGACAACCCUAGGAGGGGACACCACUACUUCUCAUUUCCACCUCCGUUUUGGAUGGGGGAAUGGAAGUGCUGGGAGGUUAGAGAGCUUCCUCCAGGUUCCCGCCAGUACACAGUAGAAUGGACUUUAGACCCAGGUCUUCGGUUAUGCACCUCAUUACACUUUCUGUUGCCCUUCCUCUCAUUUAAUCCUCACCAAAAGCCCAAGAAUUAGGAAUCCCUUUAAUCCCGUGCAUUUUAGAGUUUGAUCAGCAGUGAGAAAGUAACUCUGGGAACAAAGAUGUUGGUAUUUAGCUUUCUGGGAUUUUUUAAACUGAAAUUUAUUUUAUUUAAGUGAAAGUCAGAGUUAGAAAGAAAAAGGAAGCUUCCACCUGCUGGUUCACUCCCCAAAUGGUCUGGAGCCAUCUUCCGCUAGUUUCCCAGGUGCAUUUAUGGGAUGCCAGCAUCACAGGUGGUAGCUUUACCCACUACACCACAACGCCGGCCCCAGUAUUUAGGUUUUCAAGCUUUUUAACUCUUAACAUGGUUGCAUUUAGUCCUGUUAAGUUGCACAGUAUCCCACAGGAGAGACUGGACGUCAUAGGACUGAGUGGUUGGCCUCCCAUGCCUUACGACGUGGUCUGUUUGACGGCGUUCCUCGGUUUGUCAGAGAUGUUCCAUCCAGUGGUUCUGCGGCUGUAUUUCCAGGCUUCCUGCAAAGCCCCCUUUCUCCAUCCUGUCAGGUGGUCACCCCAGCAUGGGAGCCCAGGGGACAGGUCCCGUCCAGCUCCUCUGAUGCAGCCCGCCCCUGUGUUUUCUUGGAGACAAGCGAAUCAGGUUUCCACUGAUGCCCAAAGGGAGGAAGACAAUGAAAGCUGUGGCAUGACUCUGUAGGACGCUUCUUUGUCUUCAUUCUGGAGCCCGGCAUGGAAAGUUGGCAGCUCAGCCUGAAAGUCGAGAGUGCAUAAGCAGCUGCCCGGGUUGGAGAUAAAGUCCACAAAGUGGGGAGCAGCUCACUGAGCCUGCACCGUGAAGUAGGGCCGGGGUUGGGGGGAAGGCAUGCUCUACGUCUGGAUCCAGGUCUCCACCUCCCAGGAUGGGAUCGUGUUGCCCAAUCGUGACAUCACUCAAGCUGUUCCCACACCCAUGGCCCACUUUUGAAAUUACUUAGCAGUGGUUGCAGAAGCCAAAUCUGAGAUAAAUUCCUCUGUGACUCAGACUGUUAAUCUCUGUUUUGACAACCAACAGCAAGUCACUGGAACUUCAGCUUAUGUUUGGUAUGAAAAUACCAUUACGUAAUGCCAAGUCUCCUUAGCUGAGCCACCUGCCCCGAGAAAGUGCCAACUGUGCACAGGCAAGAAAGUUGAUUCCCUUGUAUUUGGGGGCAGUAGCUGGAAUCCUUGUUCCAGGGAAGAAGCGAAGGCCUGCAGCGUCUGCUGUCGCACCCAGGCUUGUGGACUGAUUGCAACCCAGUGUCCCGCUCUGAGCAUUAUCUGCAACAGCUCAACAUCGGAGCAACCAGGAGGCAAUCCAUGGAUGAAUGGAUAAGCAAAAUGUGGACUAGGCAGACAAUGGAAAUUAUCCAGCCUUAAAGAGGACACUGUGCAGCCUGCUGCUGCAUGGUGAAGCUCGAGGACAUUACGCUAAGUGGAACGAGCCAGUCAUAAGACAAAUACAUCUUUGCCUUCCCAGCUGGACCACACACAGAGAGAGAGAGAGAGAGAGAGAGAGGAGAGAGCUGCCGGUCCCAGUGCUCCACCUGCAGACCACGGUGAUUGGUACAGAGGUGGGCAUGUAACCAAGCCAGGCAACUCAGCGCUUCUCUGGGGUGUCACAUUGAUACACUAAGAGAGAGAACAUCUCCCCUUUUUCUUGAAUCUUGAGCUCUAAGAUUGUUUCUCUAAUCAUGUCCUUUGGAGGUGGGUUGGCUACUGUAGGAUAAACUGAGACCAGUUGACGGAAGCAAAUCUAAGCAAUGAAGUUACGUAAAUUAAUAAAUGCCUAUUUGCUUUAAUUGGUUGGAUUUAAGUUUCUCUUUACUAGCAACCAAAAAAGAGUUUUCAUUCAGGUACAACCUCACUUUUAAGAACAUCUAUUGCCAUCCAUUCCUGUUCUGUUGUAGAGUAUUAUACCUCUCUCUCUCUCUCUUUUUUUUUUUUUUUUUAUUUGACAGGUAGAGUUACAGACAGUGAGAGAGAGAGACAGAGAGAAAGGUCUUCCUUCUGUUGGUUCACCCCCCAAAUGACCACAACGGCCGGCACUGCGCUGAUCCGAAGCCAGGAGCCAGGUGCUUCUUCCUGGUCUCCCAUGGGGUGCAGGGCCCAAGCACUUGGGCCAUCCUCCACUGCCCUCCCGGGCCACAGCAGAGAGCUGGCCUGGAAGAGGAGCAACCAGGACUAGUACCUGGCGCCCUAACUGGGACUAGAACCCGCAGGCGGAGGAUUAGCCAAGUGAGCCACGGCGCCGGCCCUAUACCUUUCUUGUACUGCCCCCCUUAUAAUAUAUAACUUACCACAGUCUAUUCCUGUUGACAUUUCACCACUUUGAGUGAAGUAUACAAACCUUACCUCCCAAUAUACCCCUUUAACAUUUCCCUUUGUAGGAUUAUUGAUUUUUAAAAAAGAUUUAUUUAUUUAUUUGAAAGGUAGAGAGACAGGUAUGGCAGGGACAAAGAUUUUUUCAUUCACUGGUUCACUCCCCAAAUGGCUGCAACAGCCAGGAGUAGUCCAGGCCAAAACCAGGAGUUUGUAUCUCCAUCCAGGUCUUGGGUGGCAGGGGCUCACGUACUUGGGCCAUGUUCUCUGCCUUCCCAGAUACAUUACCAGGGAGCUGGAUCGAAAGCAGAGCAGCCAGGACUCGAAUCUGCACUCUAAUAUAGGGUGCUGGCAUCACAAACCAAGGCUCACUGGCUGCACCACAGCACCAACCCCAGGAAAAUUGUUGUAAGCAUUUCCCUCUGAAUAUGUUGGAACCAUAUCAGACAUUGUUGUAAGUUUGGCUUCAAUUAUCAAACAGAAUUUAGAAUAUUCCAGAAGAGAAGGAAAGACUUGUAUUUACCCAUAUCUUUACUUUUUCUGUUGUUUUCUUUUCUUUUCUGAUGUUACAGAUUUUUUUUUCUUUUAUCAAGUGCUUUCUAAUUGGAGAAAAUCCUUAGCCAGUCUUUUAAAGCAAAUAUGGUAGUGACAGAUUCUCCUACUUUGCUUUCAUAGGGGAUGGCUUGAUAUUCCAUUCUGGAAAGAUAUUUUCACUGGAUGUAGAAUUCUGGGUUGACAAUUUUUUUCUUUCAGUCCUUGAAAAGUGUUGUGCCACUUCCUUCUGGUCUGCAUGGUUCCUGAUGAGAAAUCUGCUACUCCAACUGUUUCUCUCUUACAGUGAAAGGGUUCUCUCUCUCAUUGCUUUAAAAGCUGUUUCCUUUGUGUUUGCUUUCAGGAGUUUGAAUGUAAUGUGUCUUGGUGUGGAUUUGGGUUUAUCCUGUUUGAGGUUAUCUCAGACUUCUGCAUUAGUAGGUUUAUGUCUUUGCCAAAUCUGGGGAGAUUUCAACCAUUAUUUCUUUUUACUUUUCUAGUCUCCUCUUCUGGGAACUUACUGAUACAGGUCUUUUUUUCUUUAAUAUUUAUCUUAAUUAUUUGAAAGGCAGAGUUAGAGAGAGAGAGAGAGAGUUUUCCAUCUACUGGUCCAUUCCUCAAAUAGCCACAAUGGCUAGGGCUAUGCCAGGCCAAAGCCAGGAGCCAAGAGCUUCAUCCAGGUGUCUCACGUGGAUGCAGGGUCCCAAGCACUUGGGCCAUCUUUUGCUGCUUUCCCAGGAGCAUUAGCAGGGAGCUGGAUAGGGAGUAGAGCAGCCGGGAAUUGAACAUGUGCCCAUAUUGGAUACUGGUGUUGCAGGCAGAGUCUUGACCCUUUUUGCCACAAUGCCAGCCCCCACAAAUCUUACGCUAUUUUCUCUCAGGUCUCUGAGGUUCUUUUUUGUUGUGGGUUAGCCUGUUUUCUCUGUAUUGUUUGGAUUGGGUCAUUUGUAUUGUUCUACCUUCCAGGUCAUUGAUUCUUCCCUCUGUCCCUCUAUUCUGCUGUUUGGGGCCAUCCAUGGAGUUUUUCAUUUGGUUAUUGUAUUUUUGAGUUCUAAAAUUUCCAUUUAGUUCUUCUUUAUACUUUUUUAUUUUUUAUUUUUUUGCUCAGACCUUCGAGUUUCUCAUUUAGUUCAAGCAAAUUGUGGUCUUUCUAGGAUGGCUGUUUUAAAAUCCUUGCCAGAUGGUUCUAACAUCCGUGUCAUGUGGAUGCUAGCAUAUCUUGAUUAUCUUUUCUCACUCAAGUUGAGAUUUUCCUGGUUCUUGAAGAGUCCUUUUCUAUGGAAACCGAGACAUUUUGAGCAUGAUGUUACAACCCUGUGUCUUAUGUAAAUCUUCCAUUUAGCAGAGCUCCUUGGUACCACCCUGGUGGUUAACAGGUGUGCCACCUCAUGACUGCCAGGUGAACACUGAUGUCCAGUUUUCCCAUUCAGUCUUUUUUUUUUUUUUUUUUUUUGACAGGCAGAGUGGAUAGUGAGAGAGAGAGAGACAGAGAGAAAGGUCUUCCUUUUUGCCAUUGGUUCACCCUCCAGUGGCCGCUGCGGCUGGCGCGCUGCGGCCGGUGCACCGCGCUGAUCCGAUGGCAGGAGCCAGGUGCUUAUCCUGGUCUCCCAUGUGGGUGCAGGGCCCAAACACUUGGGCCAUCCUCCACUGCACUCCCGGGCCACAGCAGAGAGCUGGCCUGGAAGAGGGGCAACCGGGACAGAAUCUGGCGUCCCGACCGGGACUAGAACCCAGUGUGCUGGCGCCACAAGGUGGAGGAUUAGCCUAGUGAGCAACGGCGCCCGCCUCCCAUUCAGUCUGGACACCUGGGAUGCCUAUUGUUACUGCUGAGGAUGGGUGGGAAUUCAGCCCCCCUCCGCCAGGCCUCCACUGACAUAAUCUUGGAUGGGAGAGCGAGGGAUGCCUUGUCAGGGCUCUCCACAUGGUCCCUAAGGAGACCAUGAUGGGCCACCUCAUCACCUAUGGCAGUAGUA
This is a long non-coding RNA of Oryctolagus cuniculus (rabbit), 13202 nucleotides long. RefSeq lists it as uncharacterized. NCBI's taxonomy places the organism in Eukaryota, Metazoa, Chordata, Mammalia, Lagomorpha, Leporidae. The record is from RefSeq and is a predicted model, not a curated record.